GAAUCGCAUGAUUCAGUGUGAAAAGCCCUGGCAGUAUAGGAUGGUCCCGCGUCUGAUUAGCUGGUUGGUGAGGUAACGGCUCACCAAGGCGACGAUCAGUAGCCGGCUUGAGAGAGUGAACGGCCACAUUGGGACUGAGACACGGCCCAAACUCCUACGGGAGGCAGCAGUGGGGAAUAUUGCACAAUGGGGGAAACCCUGAUGCAGCGACGCCGCGUGAGUGAAGAAGUAUUUCGGUAUGUAAAGCUCUAUCAGCAGGGAAGAAAACAGACGGUACCUGACUAAGAAGCCCCGGCUAACUACGUGCCAGCAGCCGCGGUAAUACGUAGGGGGCAAGCGUUAUCCGGAAUUACUGGGUGUAAAGGGUGCGUAGGUGGCAUGGUAAGUCAGAAGUGAAAGCCCGGGGCUUAACCCCGGGACUGCUUUUGAAACUGUCAUGCUGGAGUGCAGGAGAGGUAAGCGGAAUUCCUAGUGUAGCGGUGAAAUGCGUAGAUAUUAGGAGGAACACCAGUGGCGAAGGCGGCUUACUGGACUGUCACUGACACUGAUGCACGA
RNAcentral lists this ribosomal RNA (555 nucleotides) under uncultured Lachnospiraceae bacterium. RNAcentral's name for it is "bacterial SSU rRNA". It matches the Rfam family "Bacterial small subunit ribosomal RNA", at positions 183 to 756 of the family's 1533-position model. Lineage: Bacteria; Bacillati; Bacillota; Clostridia; Lachnospirales; Lachnospiraceae. The record is from RNAcentral.